UACGGAGGGUGCAAGCGUUGUCCGGAAUCACUGGGCGUAAAGGGCGCGUAGGCGGCUCAUGAAGGCUGUGGUGAAAGUCCGGGGCUCAACCUCGGAUCGGCCGUGGCGACUCGUGGGCUGGAGCACUGUAGAGGCGGGUGGAAUUCCGGGUGUAGCGGUGGAAUGCGUAGAGAUCGGGAAGAACACCCGUGGCGAAGGCGGCGUGCUGGGUUGCAACUGACGCUGAGAUGCGAAAGUGUGGGGAGCAAACGGG
This 253-nucleotide ribosomal RNA is filed under the name uncultured bacterium. RNAcentral's name for it is "partial 16S ribosomal RNA". It matches the Rfam family "Bacterial small subunit ribosomal RNA", at positions 524 to 776 of the family's 1533-position model. The record is from RNAcentral.